Molecule: ribosomal RNA, 80 nt
Filed under: Staphylococcus epidermidis
Lineage: Bacteria; Bacillati; Bacillota; Bacilli; Caryophanales; Staphylococcaceae
Also listed under: 5 other names
Source: RNAcentral
UCUGGUGACAAUGGCAAGGAGGUCACACCUGUUCCCAUGCCGAACACAGAAGUUAAGCUCCUUAGCGCCGAUGGUAGUCG